This 492-nucleotide ribosomal RNA is filed under the name uncultured bacterium. Its description in RNAcentral is "partial 16S ribosomal RNA". It matches the Rfam family "Bacterial small subunit ribosomal RNA", at positions 29 to 507 of the family's 1533-position model. The record is from RNAcentral.
AGUGAACGCUGGCGGUAGGCCUAACACAUGCAAGUCGAACGGCAGCACAGUAAGAGCUUGCUCUUACGGGUGGCGAGUGGCGGACGGGUGAGGAAUACAUCGGAAUCUACUUUUUCGUGGGGGAUAACGUAGGGAAACUUACGCUAAUACCGCAUACGACCUACGGGUGAAAGCAGGGGAUCUUCGGACUUUGCGCGAUUGAAUGAGUCGAUGUCGGAUUAGCUAGUUGGCGGGGUAAAGGCCCACCAAGGCGACGAUCCGUAGCUGGUCUGAGAGGAUGAUCGGCCACACUGGAACUGAGACACGGUCCAGACUCCUACGGGAGGCAGCAGUGGGGAAUAUUGGGCAAUGGGCGCAAGCCUGAUCCAGCCAUACCGCGUGGGUGAAGAAGGCCUUCGGGUUGUAAAGCCCUUUUGUUGGGAAAGAAAAGCAGCAGGUUAAUACCCCGCUGUUCUGACGGUACCCAAAGAAUAAGCACCGGCUAACUUCGUG